CACCUCUAGCAUAACUAGUAUUAGAGGCACUGCCUGCCCAGUGACAAUCGUUAAACGGCCGCGGUAUCUUGACCGUGCAAAGGUAGCAUAAUCACUUGUUCUCUAAAUAAGGACUUGUAUGAAUGGCCACACGAGGGUUUUACUGUCUCUUACUCCCAAUCAGUGAAAUUGACCUCCCCGUGAAGAGGCGGGGAUAACACAAUAAGACGAGAAGACCCUAUGGAGCUUUAAUUAAUCAACUCAAAAAGCAUAAAAUAAUACCACCAAGGGAUAACAAAGCUUUACAUGAGCUGACAAUUUCGGUUGGGGUGACCUCGGAGCAUAAAAAACCCUCCGAGUGAUUAAAACUUAGGCCUACCAGCCAAAGUAUAACAUCACUUAUUGAUCCAAAAUUUUGAUCAACGGAACAAGUUACCCUAGGGAUAACAGCGCAAUCCUAUUCUAGAGUCCAUAUCGACAAUAGGGUUUACGACCUCGAUGUUGGAUCAGGACAUCCUAGUGGUGCAGCAGCUACUAAGGGUUCGUUUGUUCAACGAUUAAAGUCCU
This 546-nucleotide ribosomal RNA is filed under the name Orcinus orca (killer whale). Its description in RNAcentral is "partial 16S ribosomal RNA". It matches the Rfam family "Bacterial large subunit ribosomal RNA", at positions 1816 to 2597 of the family's 2925-position model. Lineage: Eukaryota; Metazoa; Chordata; Mammalia; Artiodactyla; Delphinidae. The record is from RNAcentral.